AGUGAACGCUGGCGGUAGGCCUAACACAUGCAAGUCGAACGGCAGCACAGUAAGAGCUUGCUCUUACGGGUGGCGAGUGGCGGACGGGUGAGGAAUACAUCGGAAUCUACUUUUUCGUGGGGGUUAACGUAGGGAAACUUACGCUAAUACCGCAUACGACCUACGGGUGAAAGCAGGGGAUCUUCGGACCUUGCGCGAUUGAAUGAGCCGAUGUCGGAUUAGCUAGUUGGCGGGGUAAAGGCCCACCAAGGCGACGAUCCGUAGCUGGUCUGAGAGGAUGAUCAGCCACACUGGAACUGAGACACGGUCCAGACUCCUACGGGAGGCAGCAGUGGGGAAUAUUGGACAAUGGGCGCAAGCCUGAUCCAGCCAUACCGCGUGGGUGAAGAAGGCCUUCGGGUUGUAAAGCCGUUUUGUUGGGAAAGAAAAGCAGCAGGUUAAUACCCCGCUGUUCUGACGGUACCCAAAGAAUAAGCACCGGCUAACUUCGU
Molecule: ribosomal RNA, 491 nt
Filed under: uncultured bacterium
Lineage: Bacteria
Description: partial 16S ribosomal RNA
Rfam family: Bacterial small subunit ribosomal RNA
Source: RNAcentral